ACUAAGGCUGAUAGAAAUCAAAUCCAGGCUCACUGAUCGGACCAUGGUGAUGGUGAUGGAUUCACACCUGGACAGCGCCCAAUUUGCAUUUCUAGUCAAGAUUUGGUUUUGAACUCCAUUCAAAGAGACUUGGAGAAUAAUCGUUGCAACACGUGUCAAAUGGGAUCUCCCAUUCGAACAGUGCUCUCUUGUUUUGUUGUGUUUUUGUUUUCCUCCUAUGUUUCUUCAGACUUCCCUCUGAAAUGGAUUUGAAGGCUAGCUACUUUGAAUCAAUCAUCAACACCUCCGGUGCAACUCAGCUAUCACAACUCAGGCAAAGAGGCCCAAGACAGGGCG
This 336-nucleotide small RNA is filed under the name Histoplasma capsulatum var. duboisii H88. RNAcentral describes it as "Histoplasma capsulatum H88 hypothetical RNA". Lineage: Eukaryota; Fungi; Ascomycota; Eurotiomycetes; Onygenales; Ajellomycetaceae. The record is from RNAcentral.